Bombus terrestris (buff-tailed bumblebee) is the source of this 238-nucleotide long non-coding RNA. RefSeq lists it as uncharacterized. NCBI's taxonomy places the organism in Eukaryota, Metazoa, Arthropoda, Insecta, Hymenoptera, Apidae. The record is from RefSeq and is a predicted model, not a curated record. The transcript is spliced from 2 exons.
GAACAAUUUUCGCGUGAAACCCUCCAGGCAAAUUGUGCACACGUGCUUCUUUGUCACGUCAUUUCUUAAUUCUAACUGCGAGACACUCGCAUGAUGCGUUCUUAAGUGAUUUGUCAGGUUCUUCUUGUAAGGGAAGAAGCCUUUUUCACAUUGUUCGCAUUUAAAGGAAUAGUCUUUGGUGUGUCUUCGACGAUGGCUCUCGAGGUUUGACUUUUGGUUUGAUCUAUAGUCACAUAAG